Molecule: small RNA, 31 nt
Filed under: Bombyx mori (domestic silkworm)
Lineage: Eukaryota; Metazoa; Arthropoda; Insecta; Lepidoptera; Bombycidae
Description: ovarian small RNA-13618
Source: RNAcentral
CCCAAUCCGCCAGGCUUGGACGACGGCCGCC